GCCUGGCUAGCUCAGUUGGUAGAGCAUGAGACUCUUAACCUCAGGGUCGUGAGUUUGAGCUCCACAUUGGGCA
This 73-nucleotide transfer RNA is filed under the name Neotoma lepida (desert woodrat). It matches the Rfam family "tRNA". From Rfam's summary of the family: Transfer RNA (tRNA) molecules are approximately 80 nucleotides in length. Lineage: Eukaryota; Metazoa; Chordata; Mammalia; Rodentia; Cricetidae. The record is from Rfam by way of RNAcentral.